AACGCGAAGAACCUUACCUGGGCUUGAACCGCUACUGACCAACGGUAGAAAUAUCGUCUUCCCGCAAGGGACAGUAGUAGAGGUGCUGCAUGGCUGUCGUCAGCUCGUGCCGUGAGGUGUUGGGUUAAGUCCCGCAACGAGCGCAACCCUUACUCGUAGUUGCUACCCGCAAGGGAGAACUCUACGAGGACUGCUCCGGAUAACGGAGAGGAAGGUGGGGAUGACGUCAAGUCAUCAUGGCUUUUACAAUUAGGGCUACACACGUGCUACAAUGGUUGGUAUAAAAGGAAGCAAAUCCGCAAGGUGGAGCAAAUCCCUAAAACCAAUCUUAGUCCGGAUUGUGGUCUGCAACUCGACCACAUGAAGUCGGAAUCGCUAGUAAUCGCGAAUCAGAAGGUCGCGGUGAAUACGUUCCCGGGCCUUGUACACACCGAUAGC
RNAcentral lists this ribosomal RNA (438 nucleotides) under uncultured bacterium. RNAcentral describes it as "bacterial SSU rRNA". It matches the Rfam family "Bacterial small subunit ribosomal RNA", at positions 958 to 1397 of the family's 1533-position model. The record is from RNAcentral.